RNAcentral lists this ribosomal RNA (100 nucleotides) under Trichoderma asperellum. Its description in RNAcentral is "5.8S ribosomal RNA". The stretch from base 17 to 100 matches the Rfam family "5.8S ribosomal RNA", at positions 1 to 84 of the family's 154-position model. Rfam says of the family: 5.8S ribosomal RNA (5.8S rRNA) is a component of the large subunit of the eukaryotic ribosome. It is transcribed by RNA polymerase I as part of the 45S precursor that also contains 18S and 28S rRNA. The record is from RNAcentral. Lineage: Eukaryota; Fungi; Ascomycota; Sordariomycetes; Hypocreales; Hypocreaceae.
AUUCAAAAUGAAUCAAAACUUUCAACAACGGAUCUCUUGGUUCUGGCAUCGAUGAAGAACGCAGCGAAAUGCGAUAAGUAAUGUGAAUUGCAGAAUUCAG